UGGGGUGGUGGCGCAGUUGGCUAGCGCGUAGGUCUCAUAGCAAUCUGAGUGAUCCUGAGGUCGAGAGUUCGAGCCUCUCUCACCCCAUUUUUUAACAUUUUAAUUAUAAUAGUUUAAUUAUCUAAUGAUUAUGAAUAAUAAUAUUGCAUAAGUAAAACAUCAGCCCCUAUAGCUCAGUGGUAGAGCGCCAGUCUUGUAAACUGGAGGUCUGUAGUUCGAUCCUGCAUGGGGGCAG
RNAcentral lists this transfer RNA (235 nucleotides) under Helianthus annuus (common sunflower). Its description in RNAcentral is "hypothetical non coding rna". The stretch from base 163 to 234 matches the Rfam family "tRNA". Lineage: Eukaryota; Viridiplantae; Streptophyta; Magnoliopsida; Asterales; Asteraceae. The record is from RNAcentral.